This 498-nucleotide ribosomal RNA is filed under the name uncultured delta proteobacterium. Its description in RNAcentral is "bacterial SSU rRNA". It matches the Rfam family "Bacterial small subunit ribosomal RNA", at positions 9 to 524 of the family's 1533-position model. The record is from RNAcentral. Lineage: Bacteria; Deltaproteobacteria.
GAGUUUGAUCUUGGCUCAGAACGAACGCUGGCGGCGUGCCUAACACAUGCAAGUCGAGCGCGAACGGCUCUUUCGGGAGUCUAGUAGAGCGGCGCACGGGUGAGUAACACGUAGACAACCUGCCUUCCAGCCUGGGAUAACCCCGCGAAAGUGGGGCUAAUACCGGAUAACAAUGGGGGUCUCAUGACCUCUAUUUGAAAGGCUUGCUACUGGGAGAGGGGUCUGCGCGGCAUUAGCUAGUUGGUGAGGUAACGGCUCACCAAGGCGACGAUGCCUAGCGGGUCUGAGAGGAUGAUCCGCCACACUGGAACUGAGACACGGUCCAGACUCCUACGGGAGGCAGCAGUGGGGAAUUUUGCGCAAUGGGCGAAAGCCUGACGCAGCAACGCCGCGUGAGUGAAGAAGGCCUUUGGGUCGUAAAGCUCUUUUCUGGGGGACGAUGCUGACGGUACUCCAGGAAUAAGCACCGGCCAACUCUGUGCCAGCCGCCGCGGUAAG